This 469-nucleotide ribosomal RNA is filed under the name uncultured bacterium. RNAcentral's name for it is "bacterial SSU rRNA". It matches the Rfam family "Bacterial small subunit ribosomal RNA", at positions 43 to 522 of the family's 1533-position model. The record is from RNAcentral.
CAGGCCUAACACAUGCAAGUCGAACGGGAAAGUUCUUUUCGGAGAGCGAGUAAAGUGGCGAACGGGUGAGUAACGCGUGGGUGAUCUACCCUUGGGUGGGGGAUAACCCNGGGGAAACCCGGGCUAAUACCGCAUGAGCCUAAAGUUGUAAGUAAUUUUAGGGAAAGUUUUCGAAUGCCGAAGGAGGAGCCCGCGUCCGAUUAGCUAGUUGGUGAGGUAAGAGCUCACCAAGGCAACGAUCGGUAGCCGGUAUGAGAGGACGGACGGUCACACUGGGACUGAGACACGGCCCAGACUCCUACGGGAGGCAGCAGUGGGGAAUUUUGGGCAAUGGGCGAAAGCCUGACCCAGCAACGCCGCGUGGAGGAUGAAGGUUUUCGGAGAGUAAACUCCUGGAUAGAGGGACGAAGCAAGUGACGGGCACCGAUGGAGGAAGCCCCGGCUAACUACCGUGCCAGCAGCCGCGGUA